This 69-nucleotide transfer RNA is filed under the name Gonista bicolor. Its description in RNAcentral is "tRNA-Gln". It matches the Rfam family "tRNA". Rfam says of the family: Transfer RNA (tRNA) molecules are approximately 80 nucleotides in length. Their secondary structure includes four short double-helical elements and three loops (D, anti-codon, and T loops). Further hydrogen bonds mediate the characteristic L-shaped molecular structure. tRNAs have two regions of fundamental functional importance: the anti-codon, which is responsible for specific mRNA codon recognition, and the 3' end, to which the tRNAs corresponding amino acid is attached (by aminoacyl-tRNA synthetases). tRNAs cope with the degeneracy of the genetic code in two manners: having more than one tRNA (with a specific anti-codon) for a particular amino acid; and 'wobble' base-pairing, i.e. permitting non-standard base-pairing at the 3rd anti-codon position. Lineage: Eukaryota; Metazoa; Arthropoda; Insecta; Orthoptera; Acrididae. The record is from RNAcentral.
UACGUUAAAGUGUAAGAUGCACGUCAGAUUUUGAAACUGAAGGAUUUAGUUUAAUUCUAUAUAAUGUAU